RNAcentral lists this ribosomal RNA (353 nucleotides) under uncultured Macrococcus sp. RNAcentral's name for it is "bacterial SSU rRNA". It matches the Rfam family "Bacterial small subunit ribosomal RNA", at positions 1028 to 1382 of the family's 1533-position model. Lineage: Bacteria; Bacillati; Bacillota; Bacilli; Caryophanales; Staphylococcaceae. The record is from RNAcentral.
AAAGUGACAGGUGGUGCAUGGUUGUCGUCAGCUCGUGUCGUGAGAUGUUGGGUUAAGUCCCGCAACGAGCGCAACCCUUAUCUUUAGUUGCCAUCAUUAGGUUGGGCACUCUAGAGAGACUGCCGGUGACAAACCGGAGGAAGGUGGGGAUGACGUCAAAUCAUCAUGCCCCUUAUGAUUUGGGCUACACACGUGCUACAAUGGAUGGUACAAAGGGCAGCAAAACCGCGAGGUCAAGCAAAUCCCAUAAAACCAUUCUCAGUUCGGAUUGUAGUCUGCAACUCGACUACAUGAAGCUGGAAUCGCUAGUAAUCGUAGAUCAGCAUGCUACGGUGAAUACGUUCCCGGGUCUU